ACUCCUACGGGAGGCAGCAGUGGGGAAUAUUGCACAAUGGGCGCAAGCCUGAUGCAGCCAUGCCGCGUGUAUGAAGAAGGCCUUCGGGGUUNUAAAGUACUUUCAGCAGUGAGGAAGGUGGAGUCGUUAAUAGCGGCCUCAUUUGACGUUAGCUGCAGAAGAAGCACCGGCUAACUCCGUGCACCAGGCCGCGGUAAUACGGAGGGUGCGANAGUUAAUCGGAAUUACUGGGCGUAAAGCGCAUGCAGGUGGUUUGUUAAGUCAGAUGUGAAAGCCCGGGGCUCAACCUCGGAAUUGCAUUUGAAACUGGCAGACUAGAGUACUGUAGAGGGGGGGUAGAAUUUCAGGUG
This 350-nucleotide ribosomal RNA is filed under the name uncultured bacterium. RNAcentral describes it as "bacterial SSU rRNA". It matches the Rfam family "Bacterial small subunit ribosomal RNA", at positions 335 to 675 of the family's 1533-position model. The record is from RNAcentral.